RNAcentral lists this transfer RNA (72 nucleotides) under Paramuricea clavata. It matches the Rfam family "tRNA". Rfam says of the family: Transfer RNA (tRNA) molecules are approximately 80 nucleotides in length. Their secondary structure includes four short double-helical elements and three loops (D, anti-codon, and T loops). Lineage: Eukaryota; Metazoa; Cnidaria; Anthozoa; Malacalcyonacea; Plexauridae. The record is from Rfam by way of RNAcentral.
GACCGCGUAGCUCAGUUGGAAGAGCAUUGGGCAAGUAUUCCAAAGGUCGUAGGUUCGAAUCCCACCGUGGCA